GGGAGCUCACGCUCAACUGGUGCCUCGGGAUCACGGAUUUGGGGGUCCAGCUCCUCGCCCUCAAGUGCAAGAAACUCAGGACCCUGCAUCUUUCCUACACCAUGAUCUCCAAAGACUGCCUUCCAGCCAUCAUGAAGCUACCCAAUCUUAAGGUAUUGGCACUGGUGGGAUGUGUUGGAAUAGAUGAUGAUGCCCUUAGUGGUCUUGAGAAUGAAUGCAGCAAAUCACUACGGGUGCUCGAUAUGUCAACCUGUCGGAAUGUCACUCAUGCGGGAGUUUCAUCAGUUGUGG
Molecule: long non-coding RNA, 291 nt
Organism: Triticum dicoccoides
Lineage: Eukaryota; Viridiplantae; Streptophyta; Magnoliopsida; Poales; Poaceae
Exons: 3
Source: RefSeq, a predicted model, not a curated record